UUGUUGGUCAAGCUACUAAGAGCACUCGGUGGAUGCCUUGGCGUCAGAAGGCGAUGAAGGACGUGGUUAAGCUGCGAUAAGCCCCGGGGAGUUGCACGCAAGCAUAGAUCCGGGGAUUUCCGAAUGGGGAAACCCGGCGCGGGUCAUACCGCGUCAUCGGCGGUUGAAUAUAUAGGCCGUCGAGGCAAACGAGGUGAACUGAACCAUCUCAGUACCCUCAGGAACAAAAAGCAAAAGCGAUUCCCUGAGUAGUGGUGAGCGAAAGGGGAACAGCCCAAACCGGCCUUAUGUAAGCCUGCAAGCGUUGUAGGGCCGGUGUAGUGGGGUUCAUUCGGACCCGGUUGCAGCCGGGUCGGAGAGUUACAAAUGUCUUGGUUAGUCGAAUAGUUUUGGAAAAUUCAACCACAGACGGUGAUAGUCCGGUAGACGAAAGCCAUAGACACUCUCUCGAAUGAAUUCCCGAGUACCGCGGGACACGUGAAAUCCCGUGGGAAACCGGGAGGACCACCUCCCAAGGCUAAAUACUCUCUGACGACCGAUAGUGAACCAGUACCGUGAGGGAAAGGUGAAAAGUACUCCUGGCGGAGGGUGAAAUAGAUCCUGAAACCGUUUGCUCACAAGCUGUAGGAGGAAAGGCCGCGACUCCACGUUACCGCCCUUCGGGGCGGCGACAGGCCGCGGCUGGACUGACUGCGUGCCUUUUGCAUAAUGAACCGGUGAGUUACUUGUAUGUAGCAAGGUUAAGUCCUUAAGGGACGGAGCCGUAGCGAAAGCGAGUCUGAACAGGGCGACAUAGUUGCAUGCAGUAGACCCGAAGCCGAGCGAUCUAGCCAUGGUCAGGGUGAAGCGUGUCUAACCGCACGUGGAGGCCCGAACCCACUAACGUUGAAAAGUUAGGGGAUGAACUGUGGAUAGGGGUGAAAGGCCAAUCAAGCUCGGAGAUAGCUGGUUCUCCCCGAAAUAGCUUUAGGGCUAGCCUCGCGGGAAGAGUGGUGGAGGUAGAGCACUGAAUGGGCUAGCGGGCCCACAAGCUUAGCAAACCCAAUCAAACUCCGAAUGCCAUACACUUGCUCCGCGGGAGUCAGGCUGUGGGGGAUAAGCUCCACAGGCGAAAGGAAAAGAAGCCAGACCGUCAGCUAAGGUCCCCAAGUGUAAACUAAGUGAUUAAGGUGGUGGAGUUACACAGACAACUGGGAUGUUGGCUUAGAAGCAGCCAUCAUUUAAAGAGUGCGUAACUGCUCACCAGUCAAGUGAUUCUGCGCCGACAAUUCAUCGGGGCUCAAGUUUACCACCGAAGCUGCGGGAUUGUCGGAUCCACCUGGGUCCGAUGAUCGGUAGGGGAGUAUUCUAUGUUAGGUUGAAGGUCGGCCGUGAGGCCGGCUGGACGAAAUAGAAGAGAUCAUGCCGGUACGAGUAGCGAUAAAAGGGGUGAGAAUCCCCUUCACCGAAAACCUAAGGUUUCCUGAGGAAGGAUCGUCCGCUCAGGGUAAGUCGGGUCCUAAGCCGAGGCCGAAAGGCGUAGGCGAUGGGAAACAGGUCAAGAUUCCUGUACCACUGAUGAGGCGCUCAAGACGCGAUGGGGGAACGCAGAAGUGAAAGGUCAGCCAGCGAUUGGAAGUGCUGGUCGAAGCCGGUAGGAGGCUUGCGCAGGCAAAUCCGCGCGGGCAUUACUCCGAGAGGUGAUCGGGAAACGAGCCUUCGGGCAAGCCAACUGACCCUAAUCAUGCUGCCAAGAAAAGCCUCUAAGCGAGUCUCAUAAGUGUCCGUACCGCAAACCGACACAGGUAGGUAGGUAGAGAAUACUAAGGUGCUCGAGUGAUUCCUCGUUAAGGAACUAGGCAAUCUAGCUUCGUAACUUUGGGAGAAGGAGUGCCCCUACGUAGGUGAUCCCCCUCGCGGGGUGAGCCGAACGGGGUCGCAGUGACCAGGCCCAAGCGACUGUUUACUAAAAACACAGGUCUCUGCCAAGUCGUAAGACGAUGUAUAGGGACUGACACCUGCCCGGUGCUGGAAGGUUAAAGGGCGGGGUUAGCCUUCGGGCGAAGCUCUAAACUGAAGCCCCAGUAAACGGCGGCCGUAACUAUAACGGUCCUAAGGUAGCGAAAUUCC
Molecule: ribosomal RNA, 2109 nt
Filed under: Gemmatimonadota bacterium
Lineage: Bacteria; Pseudomonadati; Gemmatimonadota
Description: Gemmatimonadetes bacterium partial 23S ribosomal RNA
Rfam family: Bacterial large subunit ribosomal RNA
Source: RNAcentral